This 77-nucleotide transfer RNA is filed under the name Betaproteobacteria bacterium. RNAcentral describes it as "tRNA-Arg". It matches the Rfam family "tRNA". From Rfam's summary of the family: Transfer RNA (tRNA) molecules are approximately 80 nucleotides in length. Their secondary structure includes four short double-helical elements and three loops (D, anti-codon, and T loops). Lineage: Bacteria; Pseudomonadati; Pseudomonadota; Betaproteobacteria. The record is from RNAcentral.
CUGACCGUAGUUCAGCUGGACAGAACAACUGCCUUCUAAGCAGUGGGUCGGGGGUUCGAGUCCCUCCGGUCAGGCCA